GUCGANCGGCAGCGCGGGGCAACCUGGCGGCGAGUGGCGAACGGGUGAGUAAUAUAUCGGAACGUACCCUGGAGUGGGGGAUAACGUAGCGAAAGUUACGCUAAUACCGCAUACGAUCUAAGGAUGAAAGUGGGGGAUCGCAAGACCUCAUGCUCCUGGAGCGGCCGAUAUCUGAUUAGCUAGUUGGUGGGGUAAAGGCCUACCAAGGCAUCGAUCAGUAGCUGGUCUGAGAGGACGACCAGCCACACUGGAACUGAGACACGGUCCAGACUCCUACGGGAGGCAGCAGUGGGGAAUUUUGGACAAUGGGCGAAAGCCUGAUCCAGCAAUGCCGCGUGAGUGAAGAAGGCCUUCGGGUUGUAAAGCUCUUUUGUCAGGGAAGAAACGGUGAGAGCUAAUAUCUCUUGCUAAUGACGGUACCUGAAGAAUAAGCACCGGCUAACUACGUGCCAGCAGCCGCGGUAAUACGUAGGGUGCAAGCGUUAAUCGGAAUUACUGGGCGUAAAGCGUGCGCAGGCGGUUUUGUAAGUCUGUCGUGAAAUCCCCGGGCUCAACCUGGGAAUUGCGAUGGAGACUGCAAGGCUAGAAUCUGGCAGAGGGGGGUAGAAUUCCACGUGUAGCAGUGAAAUGCGUAGAGAUGUGGAGGAACACCGAUGGCGAAGGCAGCCCCCUGGGUCAAGAUUGACGCUCAUGCACGAAAGCGUGGGGAGCAAACAGGAUUAGAUACCCUGGUAGUCCACGCCCUAAACGAUGUCUACUAGUUGUCGGGUUUUAAUUAACUUGGUAACGCAGCUAACGCGUGAAGUAGA
Molecule: ribosomal RNA, 809 nt
Filed under: Oxalobacteraceae bacterium 96-2PB
Lineage: Bacteria; Pseudomonadati; Pseudomonadota; Betaproteobacteria; Burkholderiales; Oxalobacteraceae
Description: bacterial SSU rRNA
Rfam family: Bacterial small subunit ribosomal RNA
Source: RNAcentral